GUAAUCCGAGCUACUCAGGAGCUGAGGCAGAAGAACCCCUUGAACCCGGGAGGCGGAGGUUUCAGUGAGCCGAGAUCGCGCCACUGCACUCCUGCCUGGGACACAAUGCGUGACUCCGUCUCAAAAUAAAAAUAAUCGUUAGAUCAAUGAGUGCGGGAAUUCUAAAAGGGGUCUGGAACUCUCGCAAGGUUGUGGAUCACUACACCUGAAGCUUAAGGGGAAUGAAAUCGGUGAGAAAUGAGGGUCCUACAGCCCGGGCCGAAGUGACAGGUCCACCCCUAGUGACUCCAACAGGUGAGGAGCACCCCCGACCCGCCUCCCUCGGCACUAAAGCGGGACGAUAGGGCGCAGGGCUCCACCCGGAAGCCUCGCCAUAAUGUCCGCGGGCGGGCCGGGGCGAGGAGAAGGUGGGAAGCCGUGGCCGCAGGUUCCGGGAGGGGUCAGCCGUCCUGGGCAAGGUCAGGCCCGACUUCCCCGGCUGAGGCCGCUGCGACCCGGCCCUGCAGGCUCCAGGCGGCAGAGCAAGGGGAGCGCCCUAGCGGGGCCCCAGGGUCCGGGCCGCCUCACCUGCAGGUGAACUUGAGGGCGAGGAGCAGCGCGCAGCCGAGCGCCACGGCCCCGCAGAGCAGCUCCGGCCGCUGGCGCGCCAUGAGGAAGGCGCCACGCAGCCCGCGACGGAGCCGGCCCGCCGAGGACGCUGUGGCCAGGGUCGGGCUCGAGCUGAGGCAGUCUGAGCCCGCGGGGCCGCCGCCGCCCCCUCCCUCGUCCUCGGCGUCCUCGCUGCUGCUGCUGCCGCCGCCGCGGCCUCCGCAUUCCGACAUUACAUGCUCCCAGUCGCCGGCUUUAUACCGCCGCCGCCGCCUCGGGCCCGAAGGCCCGGCCCGGCCCGUUGCUCCCCAAUCCCGCAGCUCGCCGCACCCGCUAACCCGGACGCUCCACGUCAGCCGCGCCGCCGCCGCGGGGUCCGCCCCACCUCACACCCCAGAGCACGCAGCUCCGCCCACCGCUCACGGAGUCCGGGCGGGCACCGACACCGCCCAAAUCCCCGCCCCCAACGGGCCACGCCCUGCACCCUACGUAAAUGCACGGAAGCCUUCCCCGCCCGCAGCCCAGUCUUGGCCCCACCGGUCACGACCCCGCUCACGGAGUCUGCGCAGGCGCCGUCGCGGGGCGUGGAGAAGCUGCUCCCUUGGGAUAAGGCCCGCGGGGAAUACUUGGAACCUUGACACCGCUGUAGUCUGCUCUCGCCGCGCUGGGUUUUAGGAGCCGUAACGACAAUAAUCGUGUCCACCAUUCUCACUACAGGCCCCGAAGCACGUAGGUGCCGUUUUUUAUCCCAACUUAACUGAAGAAAAAAAAAACACGGCCGGGCGCGGUGGCUCAAGCCUGUAAUCCCAGCACGUUGGGAGGCCAAGGCGGGCAGAUUACAUGAGACCAGGCGUUCAAGACCAGCCUGGCCAACAUGGUGAAACCUCGUCUCUACUAAAAAUACAAAUAUAUUAGCCGGGCGUGGUGGCGGGCGCCUGUAAUCCUAGCUGCUUGGGAGGCUGAGGCAGAGAAUUGCUUGAACCCUGGAGGCGGAGGUUGCAGUGAGUGGAGAUGGCGCCACUGCACUCCCGUCUGGGGGAGAGAGAGAGAGAGACUCUUGUCUCAAAAAAAAAAAAAGGACUUGUCCUCCAAUGUCAAUAACAACAAACUAGACAAAUAAAACUUCGAGGGCAUUAAGGCAAUAUGGUGUUAUGCCACAAACAGAAGGCACAGCUAACGGCCAGUAGCUGAGACGCCACCUCUGCCACAGGUCAGCUAUGUGACCCACGUGCAAAUCUCAUCACUUCCUGUCUGGUUCUGCUUCUGUGGAUGUAGAAUGGGGCAAUCAAUGGCUGUCUUGCUCAAUUGGCCAGACAUUUAAUGUGUCAACCACCCAGGCCCAACAUGUUGUGAGUUCAUGUACACCGACCAUUUUGCUAUUUCUUUUCUAUAUGUCACUUUUUUUUUUUUUUUGGUUGUUUUUUGAUACAGGGUCUUGUGUCACCCAGGCUGGAGUGCAAUGGCGCAAUCAUAGCACACUGAAGCCUUGACAACCCCAGCUCAAGCGAUCCACCCCCGUCAGCCUCCCAAGUAGUAGGCAACACAGAUGUGUGCGACUACGCCCAGCUAAUUUUUUUUUUUUGUGGAGACAAGGUCUCUCCAUGUUGCCUAGGCUGGUCUUGAACUCCUGGGCUCAAGCGAUCUUCCCCCUUCGACCUCCCAAAGCGUUAGGAUUAUGUAAAAGCAUGAGUCACUGCGCCCACCUGUCACAUCUUUUUGUUUCUUCUAUACUGCCUUAUUUUGUAGAAAGUAGCUAUUUUCUCGUAUAACAUUAAUUCCUUUAUUUUUAACUUGUCCCUCAUCUCUGUUUUGUGUUAUUAUUACCCUUAUUAUCUAUGUUACAAACCCAACCAUACAGUGUUAAUCUUGUUUUAAAAAGCUGAGAAAAAAUAUAUAGUUACAGAGUUUUUUUAACCUUCUAAUUUGCCACUUAUACUUCUGUUGAUUCCUUUGUGUAGAUUAGAGUUACACAAUUUAUUGCUAAAGAAAAUAAAUAUGGUCAAAAGUCA
Long non-coding RNA from Homo sapiens (human), 2597 nucleotides. Ensembl annotates it as TXNDC11 antisense RNA 1. Its record names the gene TXNDC11-AS1. The record is from Ensembl. NCBI's taxonomy places the organism in Eukaryota, Metazoa, Chordata, Mammalia, Primates, Hominidae.